UAUAUUUUAUGUUAUGUGAUUGAUUGAAGAAAAAAUAACUGAGAGAAAAAAAGAGAGAAAAGAAGUGAAAGAGAGAAAAGGAGAGAUGCGUCGCGAGCAAGGGCCAGGGACAUCAGAAGGGAUCACCUCCAUCUCCCUGAUUUACCCUCGUCAGAGACUGUCAACGGUGUUUCUUUUUUUGUUUGCUAUUUAUUUCUCCUUUCUUUUGCAGGUCCUGUUAUCCAUCGCGAGGAUUGUUCUUUGGAUUUGGGUGAGGGCUAGUGACUUUGCUUUUGCUGGUGGGAAGGAGUUCCUUUGUUGAUGUCGUCGGAAUCUCCAGGACCGCACCGAUGCAUCCGGUAGUUAUGUUCCGUUUGGCCUCAAUGAUAGCUGCUCCGCAGUGCCUUCUUUCCUCUAUGUCUUGAGCUGUUACUCGUCCAGCUGAAUUCCUCUUCGUUUUAAAUUUAUUUGCAUGCAAGCUUAUUUCUUGUGCCAUUUUGUCUUCUUUUUGGUGUUGCUGCAAUUUUCAUCUGGAUUUGACACCGGUGAUGGUGUGCUCUUUCAUUUGGUGGGUGCCUUAGGCAGUGAGACGGUGGUAGAUACAAAAUUGCUAUGCUAAUGUGGUCUAGCUUGGAUUUGGAUCAUGGAUUCUAAAUUUAGGCUUCUAAGUGUGUGCUUUGUAGUACUUAAUUUUAUAUAUUGACUUUUGUCUUGUUUUGUUGGAAUUGUUUGGCUUGGUUUAUUUUUAAUCUUGUGGUUGGACUCCAACCAUCUUUGUAUUAGCCCUAUUAAGUCUUGACAAAUGCAAUAGUCUUACAUUGUAAAAAAAAUAUAUUUGUUUCAGGUUUUUCCACCAUCAGUGGGUCCUUUCGCAUCGCAGUGUGACUGUUUUCAGUUUUUGUGUUUUGUUUUUGGUGCACUGCCGAUCAAGAGGCUUUGGUGGAAGGGGCUUAUGAUCAUUCAGUUGUUGUACUUGUGCAUGUGAAGGAACUUUUGGUCAAUCAUCCUCGAGAGGUUCUACAUGUAUCGACGGGUGUAUAUUCAGAUUGAAUCCCCUAUGCCGGCGAUUCGUUUCUUUCCAUGUGAGCUCUCCUCGUCUCCUUUCGAUGGUGAUUUGCACUACUUACUGUCUCUAUGCUAUUUGUUGGACUGAAAUCUGUAAUGCUUCUCUAGAUAUUAUUGGUGGUGGUCUGGUCCCAAAGACAAUUAUGGCGUUGACGUUUCUGCUUCUAAGAUUUCUAAGUUGAUAUAGGUUGAAUUUACAGU
Long non-coding RNA from Manihot esculenta (cassava), 1245 nucleotides. RefSeq lists it as uncharacterized. The transcript is spliced from 2 exons. NCBI's taxonomy places the organism in Eukaryota, Viridiplantae, Streptophyta, Magnoliopsida, Malpighiales, Euphorbiaceae. The record is from RefSeq and is a predicted model, not a curated record.